Molecule: ribosomal RNA, 646 nt
Filed under: Xanthomonas campestris
Lineage: Bacteria; Pseudomonadati; Pseudomonadota; Gammaproteobacteria; Lysobacterales; Lysobacteraceae
Description: bacterial SSU rRNA
Rfam family: Bacterial small subunit ribosomal RNA
Source: RNAcentral
GUGAACGCUGGCGGCAGGCCUAACACAUGCAAGUCGAACGGCAGCACAGUAAGAGCUUGCUCUUAUGGGUGGCGAGUGGCGGACGGGUGAGGAAUACAUCGGAAUCUACUCUUUCGUGGGGGAUAACGUAGGGAAACUUACGCUAAUACCGCAUACGACCUACGGGUGAAAGCGGAGGACUUCGGGCUUCGCGCGAUUGAAUGAGCCGAUGUCGGAUUAGCUAGUUGGCGGGGUAAAGGCCCACCAAGGCGACGAUCCGUAGCUGGUCUGAGAGGAUGAUCAGCCACACUGGAACUGAGACACGGUCCAGACUCCUACGGGAGGCAGCAGUGGGGAAUAUUGGACAAUGGGCGCAAGCCUGAUCCAGCCAUGCCGCGUGGGUGAAGAAGGCCUUCGGGUUGUAAGCCCUUUUGUUGGGAAAGAAAAGCAGUCGGUUAAUACCCGAUUGUUCUGACGGUACCCAAAGAAUAAGCACCGGCUAACUUCGUGCCAGCAGCCGCGGUAAUACGAAGGGUGCAAGCGUUACUCGGAAUUACUGGGCGUAAAGCGUGCGUAGGUGGUGGUUUAAGUCUGUUGUGAAAGCCCUGGGCUCAACCUGGGAAUUGCAGUGGAUACUGGGUCACUAGAGUGUGGUAGAGGGUAGCGG